GCUGGAAACGGCUGUUAAUACCGCAUAUGCACACGCUGCCGCAUGGCAGAGGGUGGAAAGAUUUAUCGGUGCAGGAUGGGCCCGCGUCGGAUUAACUAGUUGGCAGGGUAACGGCCUACCAAGGUUAUGAUCCGUAGCCGACCUGAGAGGGUGACCGGCCACAUUGGGACUGAGACACGGCCCAAACUCCUACGGGAGGCAGCAGUGGGGGAUAUUGCACAAGGGGCGGAAGCCUGAUGCAGCGACGCCGCGUGA
RNAcentral lists this ribosomal RNA (255 nucleotides) under uncultured bacterium. Its description in RNAcentral is "partial 16S ribosomal RNA". It matches the Rfam family "Bacterial small subunit ribosomal RNA", at positions 149 to 404 of the family's 1533-position model. The record is from RNAcentral.